Molecule: ribosomal RNA, 401 nt
Filed under: uncultured bacterium
Lineage: Bacteria
Description: bacterial SSU rRNA
Rfam family: Bacterial small subunit ribosomal RNA
Source: RNAcentral
GACGAACGCUGGCGGCGUGCUUAACACAUGCAAGUGGAGCGACGAACCAGGCUUCGGCCUGGGGCAGAGCCGCGAACGGGUGAGUAACACGUGGGUGACCUGCCCCGAUGACCGGGACAACCCGAGGAAACUCGGGCUAAUACCGGAUGCGUCCACCUCGCGACAGCGGGGCGGGCAAAGGUAGCUUCGGCCUCCGCAUCGGGAUGGGCCCGCGGCCCAUUAGCUUGUUGGUGAGGUAACGGCNCACCAAGGCGACGAUGGGUAGCUGGUCUGAGAGGACGAUCAGCCACACUGGGACUGAGACACGGCCCAGACUCCUACGGGAGGCAGCAGUGGGGAAUCUUGCGCAAUGCGCGAAAGCGUGACGCAGCAACGCCGCGUGGGGGAAGACGGCCUCGGUU